GGCUGGUCCAAAGGUAGUGAGUUAUCUCGCUUGAUUGUUCACAGUCAGUUACAGAUUAAAUUCCUUUUUCUACUACUUUCCCCCCUUCUCACUAAUGCACUUGACUAGUCUUUA
This 114-nucleotide Y RNA is filed under the name Microcebus murinus (gray mouse lemur). Its description in RNAcentral is "Y RNA (ENSMICG00000047370.1)". It matches the Rfam family "Y RNA". From Rfam's summary of the family: Y RNAs are components of the Ro ribonucleoprotein particle (Ro RNP), in association with Ro60 and La proteins. The Y RNAs and Ro60 and La proteins are well conserved, but the function of the Ro RNP is not known. The record is from Rfam by way of RNAcentral. Lineage: Eukaryota; Metazoa; Chordata; Mammalia; Primates; Cheirogaleidae.